UACGAAGGGGGCUAGCGUUGCUCGGAAUCACUGGGCGUAAAGGGUGCGUAGGCGGGUCUUUAAGUUAGGGGGGAAAUCCUGGAGCUCAACUCCAGAACUGCCUUUGAUACUGAGGAUCUUGAGUUCGGGAGAGGUGAGUGGAACUGCGAGUGUAGAGGUGAAAUUCGUAGAUAUUCGCAAGAACACCAGUGGCGAAGGCGGCUCACUGGCCCGAUACUGACGCUGAGGCACGAAAGCGUGGGGAGCAAACAGG
RNAcentral lists this ribosomal RNA (253 nucleotides) under uncultured bacterium. Its description in RNAcentral is "partial 16S ribosomal RNA". It matches the Rfam family "Bacterial small subunit ribosomal RNA", at positions 524 to 776 of the family's 1533-position model. The record is from RNAcentral.